AGAUUGAACGCUGGCGGCAUGCUUUACACAUGCAAGUCGAACGGUAACAGGCCGCAAGGUGCUGACGAGUGGCGAACGGGUGAGUAAUGCAUCGGAACGUGCCCAGUCGUGGGGGAUAACGCAGCGAAAGCUGUGCUAAUACCGCAUACGUCCUACGGGAGAAAGCAGGGGACCUUCGGGCCUUGAGCUAUCAGAUGAGCCUAGGUCGGAUUAGCUAGUUGGUGGGGUAAUGGCUCACCAAGGCGACGAUCCGUAACUGGUCUGAGAGGAUGAUCAGUCACACUGGAACUGAGACACGGUCCAGACUCCUACGGGAGGCAGCAGUGGGAAUAUUGGACAAUGGACAAAGCCUGAUCCAGCCAUGCCGCGUGUGUGAAGAAGGUCUUCGGAUUGUAAAGCACUUUAAGUUGGGAGGAGGCAGUUACCUAAGUACGUAUCUGUUUGACGUUACGACAGAAUAAGCAACCGGCUAACUCGUAGUCGCCAACG
Molecule: ribosomal RNA, 489 nt
Filed under: uncultured soil bacterium
Lineage: Bacteria
Description: bacterial SSU rRNA
Rfam family: Bacterial small subunit ribosomal RNA
Source: RNAcentral